This 76-nucleotide transfer RNA is filed under the name Bacillota bacterium. RNAcentral's name for it is "tRNA-Glu". It matches the Rfam family "tRNA". Rfam says of the family: Transfer RNA (tRNA) molecules are approximately 80 nucleotides in length. Their secondary structure includes four short double-helical elements and three loops (D, anti-codon, and T loops). Further hydrogen bonds mediate the characteristic L-shaped molecular structure. tRNAs have two regions of fundamental functional importance: the anti-codon, which is responsible for specific mRNA codon recognition, and the 3' end, to which the tRNAs corresponding amino acid is attached (by aminoacyl-tRNA synthetases). tRNAs cope with the degeneracy of the genetic code in two manners: having more than one tRNA (with a specific anti-codon) for a particular amino acid; and 'wobble' base-pairing, i.e. permitting non-standard base-pairing at the 3rd anti-codon position. The record is from RNAcentral. Lineage: Bacteria; Bacillati; Bacillota.
GCCCCCAUCGUCUAGCGGCCUAGGACGCAUGGUUCUCAGCCAUGUAGCAGGGGUUCAAAUCCCCUUGGGGGUGCCA